RNAcentral lists this long non-coding RNA (1262 nucleotides) under Felis catus (domestic cat). RNAcentral describes it as "lncRNA (ENSFCAG00000049830.1)". Lineage: Eukaryota; Metazoa; Chordata; Mammalia; Carnivora; Felidae. The record is from RNAcentral.
UCCGACUAACUCAUUAAAAUAUUCAUCACUAACAUGAAAGUACUUGACCUUGCAAAAUGAUAACAGUGCCAGACCCCAAUUAGAUGCAAUGGCAAUUAGUAAUUUUAAAAUGGUGUAUCCAGAAGACAGGUGCUGCUGAUAUAAGUGGGUUGUUAACCCAUCUGCUGAAGUAAGUGCCACUUUCCUCGUCAUCUGGGAUGCUAGCACAGUGUUAGGCCAAUGGGGAAACAGCAUUGGUGAAAGCAAAAAUAUUGGAACCAACCUAAAAGUGUAGGUGAAGUUAAAUAAAUCAUUUGCGGAAUUCUCUGUACCCAGUUUUCAAAAUGAGGGGUUCCUUGCCACGCUCUGGGAAGGUGUCCAUGGUUCUCAGUGCCCACACAGCAGCAGCCCUAAGAAAAUAAUUAUUUUUUUUAAAAAAAAUUUUAACGUUUAUUUAUUUUUGAGACAGAGAGAGACAGAGCAUGAACGGGGGACGGGCAGAGAGAGAGGGAGACACAGAAUCGGAAGCAGGCUCCAGGCUCCGAGCCAUCAGCCCAGAGCCGGACGCGGGGCUCGAACUCACGGACCGCGAGAUCGUGACCUGAGUCGAAGUCGGACGCCUAACCGACUGAGCCACCCAGGCGCCCCAGAAAAUAAUUAUUAAAUGAGUAAGUGGGUACAUUGUUAAGUGAACAAAAGUAAACAAUACAUACAACAGAAUUCCAUUUAUUGUUUCAAAAGGGGCUACAUGUGUUCAACGAUAUUUAUUUUUUUCCUAUCUGCAUAAACACAGAAAAUAUCUGGAAGAAUAUGGUACCCAACUGCUACAGUGGCUACUUCUGAAAAGAGAUUGGAAAGAGAGAGGAGAUUUUCCAGUUCAUAAAAGUGAAAUCAGGUGCUGGAAGGUGGCGAAGGAAAUGGUGCUGAAGACAAUUCCUGUGACCGUUUGGGAGUCAGUGACCCAGCCGAGGAUCAGCAAAUGGCUUUUCACUCACCACCAAGCACCUCAUACAACCAGUCUACUAAACUAUAAGAGUUGUUUGCACCGUAAAUGUUUAUUGAUCACUUAGCAUGCGUCCAGCGCAUAAGUCACAGUUCCUGUCCCCUGGCAUAUGGGUCAGUGAGCUAUUCAUAUAGAUGAAGAGGCCAGUCAACAGAUUUAUUGAGCAAUUGCUAUGUACCAAGCACGGUUGUAGGAAAUUAAGAUAAAAUAUGGUAAGCCCUAACACUGAAUGUUAGCAAAGUGUUAGAGGAAUAAAUCUGCAGUGUCACAUAACCCCUCA